Non-coding RNA from Acanthosepion pharaonis, 107 nucleotides. Lineage: Eukaryota; Metazoa; Mollusca; Cephalopoda; Sepiida; Sepiidae. The record is from the annotation of a GenBank genome assembly.
ACGACCAUAUCACGUUGAAACACCUAGUUACGUACAAUCACCGAAGUUAAGCAAAGUCGAGCUUGGCUAGAACUCAAAUAGGUGAGCGUUUGGGAAUACCAGGUGCU